CAAAGGCCAGGCAAAACGAGCCCUCGCCCGUGUUGCGUGUGCCCUCGCCGAUGCUGCGGGCGCCCACGGCGAGCAGCGACUCGUAGCCGCGGUGCGCGGGCAAGAGGCUCCGGAGGGUCUCGUUGUAGGCCAUGGUGGCGUCGCGCAUGGCCUCGGGGUCGUGCUCCCACAGCGACACGGCACGCGCCACGUCGGCAAACACGAUCGCCAUCGUGCCCUCGGGCGGGCGCACCCCACCCACCGCCGCGCCAGCGGCGACCAGGGCAUUGCCGCGGCCCGACCGACCCCCAGUGCUCGUCGACGAGCCCGUGUCAUAGUCGCCCGUGCCGGCCACCGACGAGGUCGACGGCAGGGUCCACGAACCGCCCGUGUGAUGAGCGUCGGCGCGCUUGGCCUUGGGCAUGCUGUCCUCGCCCGACGAGCCCGACGACGACACACCGACGCCGCUGCUCGACUCGCCGUGCAUAGCCGACAGGCGCGUCAUGACCUCCAUAAAGGUCGGGCGCACCGUCGGGUCCCUAUGCCAGCAGUCGUUGACGAGGUCGACAUAGGCCUGCGGAUGGGCCGCCGGCAGAUCGUCGGGCAUGCGCGGUCGCGCGUCGUCGCGGAUGACCGCUACGGCAAUGGCCGCCGGCGACAUGCCCGCAUAGGGCUGCUCGCGCGUGAGCACCUCCCACAGGAUGAUGCCAAAUGAGUAGACGUCGGCCAUGGCAUAGUCGACGUCCAGCGACUCGUUGAGCACCUCGGGCGCCAUCCAGUGCACACUGCCAAUGGGCGCCACGCCCACGCCGUCGGCCAGGUCGGCCCGGAACUUGGUCAGGCCAAAGUCUGACACCUUGACAUUCCACUUGUUGUCGAGCAGCAGGUUGAGCGACUUGACGUCGCGAUGCACGAUGCCUGUCCACCCCAAAAGAGAUGAUGGUGAGAAAACAAGAAAAAAUAAGAAAGAAAUGGGGAAAAAGAC
RNAcentral lists this long non-coding RNA (964 nucleotides) under Pandoravirus quercus. Its description in RNAcentral is "hypothetical ncRNA". The record is from RNAcentral.